CCUACGGGUGGCAGCAGUGAGGAAUAUUGGUCAAUGGACGGAAGUCUGAACCAGCCAUGCCGCGUGCAGGAUGACGGCCCUAUGAGUUGUAAACUGCUUUUGUAUUAGGGUAAAAACCCCUACGCGUAGGGGCUUGAAAGUAUCAUACGAAUAAGGAUCGGCUAACUCCGUGCCAGCAGCCGCGGUAAUACGGAGGAUACAAGCGUUAUCCGGAUUUAUUGGGUUUAAAGGGUGCGUAGGCUGUGAGGUAAGUCAGCGGUGAAAUGCCCCCGCUCAACGGGUUGAAGUGCCAUUGAUACUGGCUUGCUGGAAUGCGGAAGCCGUGUGAGGAAUGUGUGGUGUAGCGGUGAAAUGCAUAGAUAUCACACAGAACACCGAUUGCGAAGGCAGCUCACGAAUCCGCGAUUGACGCUGAUGCACGAAAGCGUGGGUAUCAAACAGGAUUAGAUACCUCAGUAGUC
Molecule: ribosomal RNA, 461 nt
Filed under: uncultured bacterium
Lineage: Bacteria
Description: partial 16S ribosomal RNA
Rfam family: Bacterial small subunit ribosomal RNA
Source: RNAcentral